This 419-nucleotide ribosomal RNA is filed under the name uncultured bacterium. Its description in RNAcentral is "partial 16S ribosomal RNA". It matches the Rfam family "Bacterial small subunit ribosomal RNA", at positions 338 to 754 of the family's 1533-position model. The record is from RNAcentral.
CCUACGGGUGGCAGCAGUGAGGAAUAUUGGUCAAUGGACGAGAGUCUGAACCAGCCAAGUAGCGUGAAGGAUGACUGCCCUAUGGGUUGUAAACUUCUUUGAUAUGGGAAUAAAAUGUUCCACGGGGGGGAUUUUGUAUGUACCAUAUGAAUAAGGAUCGGCUAACUCCGUGCCAGCAGCCGCGGUAAUACGGAGGAUCCGAGCGUUAUCCGGAUUUAUUUGGUUUAAAGGGGGCGUAGGUGGAUUGUUAAGUCAGUGGGGAAAGUUUGCGGCUCAACCGUAAAAUUGCAGUUGAAACUGGCAGUCUUGCGUACAGUAGUGGUGGGCUGCAUUCGUGGUGUCGCGGUGAACUGCUUCGCUCUCACGAAGAACUCCGAUUGCGAAGGCAGCUCACUGGACUGCACCUGACACUGAGGCUC